RNAcentral lists this transfer RNA (72 nucleotides) under Sphaerodactylus townsendi. RNAcentral describes it as "tRNA-Ser". Lineage: Eukaryota; Metazoa; Chordata; Lepidosauria; Squamata; Sphaerodactylidae. The record is from RNAcentral.
GGGUGGAUGGCUCAGUGGUAGAACAUCUGCUUUGAAUGAAGAAGAUCCCAGGUUCAACUUCCAGCAUAUCCA